GUUAGCCUUUGGGGCAAGGUGCAAAAGAGAAAUCUUUUAAUUCCUGACCGGCGGUACAGCCCGCGAGCCGUUAUACGGCUGAUCUGGUGUAAAUUCCAGAGCCGACAGUAUAGUCUGGAUGGUAAAAGGCGCAA
Molecule: non-coding RNA, 134 nt
Filed under: Sporomusa malonica
Lineage: Bacteria; Bacillati; Bacillota; Negativicutes; Selenomonadales; Sporomusaceae
Description: FMN sequence
Rfam family: FMN riboswitch aptamer (RFN element)
About the family: The RFN element is a highly conserved domain that is found frequently in the 5'-untranslated regions of prokaryotic mRNAs that encode for flavin mononucleotide (FMN) biosynthesis and transport proteins. This element is a metabolite-dependent riboswitch that directly binds FMN in the absence of proteins.
Source: Rfam by way of RNAcentral